Long non-coding RNA from Brachypodium distachyon (stiff brome), 1303 nucleotides. RefSeq lists it as uncharacterized. The record is from RefSeq and is a predicted model, not a curated record. The transcript is spliced from 2 exons. Lineage: Eukaryota; Viridiplantae; Streptophyta; Magnoliopsida; Poales; Poaceae.
UUUACUCCUAUAAAAGAACUAAUGGUGGUGGCCGUACGUCACACCAUCCCGUCUCCGGCGAGUGGGACCUGCUUUCCAGUGCCUUCCGCCGCCCCCCACGCCCGAAUGCCCAAUUGAUCGGCGAGCCUGGAGCUCCCCUUGACAGAAGGAAAAAUCAGAUCACAUCCGGUUCUUCUCGUCAGUGUGCUUCCCUCCGUCCUUGGAUCCAGCUCUUCUCGCGUCGCCGGCCACCGCGCCAUCCUCCGCCCCCUCCCUCAUCUGUGGAGGGGGCCGCCGCCAGCCUGCCACAGAGCUGGCCCCGGACCCUUCCCUUCGUUGACCUCAUCCAUGAAGAUCGGGAAGUCUGGCCGGCACGGUCGCGGAUCCUCUGGACGCUCUAGCAGCCCUGGUCGCCAGGAAGGGGAGAAAGGAGGUUGACGGCCGGCGAAUUGUUGGGCGGUGUGCACGGACGGAUCAGGCCCGGGUUCCCUACCCUUUGCCCCCUCUCUUUCUCAUCCGCAGAUGACGACGCAGCCAUGGAGCCCCGGCUCACCUCCAUGGCUCCAUCAGACCAUCACCGGCGCCCGUGAGCUCACCUCCGCCACCGGUCAAAUUCCGCCGCCAACAGCGACAGUGGGUUCGCCGCCGCCACCGACAAAAUCUCCUCCACCGCCGGUUCCAGUGAGCCCCCUCCCCAAUCCCCACCACCACCAGCACUGCCUUCUCCGUUGAGUUCUCCACCUCCUCCCGCCGGCAGCCCUGGCGCUGCCUGCAGAACUCCACAUUAGUUCGAGCUGCAGUUUCUCUCCCUGGAGUUCCAUGAAGAGCCACAACUCGACUGCAAGCCAACAAAUUGAAGUCCCAGAGAUCGCGACGGCGGAUGGUGAGAACAGAGGCAGCAGCAGCAGGGUGCCAGCGAAGAGUGAUGAUAGUUCAGAUGUUGGUCAGAGGAUGAGUAAGAUUAGAUCGAAGAAACCAAAUAAGCAGAAAACUCUACCACUCUAGGUACAACGACUGCACUGAUUAGCGACUACUGAAGUCUAAUCUGGAUAGAUUGUCAUGGUGUCUCUACUCUGCACCGUCCAGUGACUAGAUUACUACACUCAACCUCAUUUACUACUACUACAACAUUGUUUAGUUAUCGCUGAACUACAGUGUUAAUGUCUUAUGGUGUGUACUUAUUCCUACUCUAGCAAUUGCAUGUUUAGUUAUCGAUGAACUUCCAGUCUCGUGUUUAUUUUUUACAUUCAUACAUCAUCUGUUGUAUAUUAACUUUAUAUUAUAAUGCUAUGAAUAAAUAAUAUUAGAUGAGGAAUGUAACAUA